UACGUAGGUGGCGAGCGUUGUCCGGAUUUACUGGGCGUAAAGGGAGCGUAGGCGGACUUUUAAGUGAGAUGUGAAAUACUCGGGCUCAACUUGAGUGCUGCAUUUCAAACUGGAAGUCUAGAGUGCAGGAGAGGAGAGUGGAAUUCCAUGUGUAGCGGUGAAAUGCGUAGAUAUAUGGAGGAACACCGGUGGCGAAAGCGGCUCUCUGGCCUGUAACUGACACUGAGGCUCGAAAGCGUGGGGAGCAAACAGG
RNAcentral lists this ribosomal RNA (253 nucleotides) under uncultured bacterium. Its description in RNAcentral is "partial 16S ribosomal RNA". It matches the Rfam family "Bacterial small subunit ribosomal RNA", at positions 524 to 776 of the family's 1533-position model. The record is from RNAcentral.